Molecule: long non-coding RNA, 1367 nt
Filed under: Phasianus colchicus (ring-necked pheasant)
Lineage: Eukaryota; Metazoa; Chordata; Aves; Galliformes; Phasianidae
Description: lncRNA (ENSPCLG00000007861.1)
Source: RNAcentral
ACUCCAUGUGAGUUGUGGCUGUUAAAGCUUGAGUUGGAGAGACUGACGCUGAGGCACAGCUCUGUGAAAUACUUACCACUCAACUGCUCUGCAGUGCCAAGAGUUCCUUUGUCCUGGUUAUAACUGCUGGGAUAUGCCACCAUCUCCAAAGGCUACAAAGUUGGGCUUUAAACAUGAAUUCAGUCUAAAAAGGAGAUUCCUUCCAUUGAAUGUGCUUGCAGUGCAGGGAAAGUCUCUGCGCCUCCCCUCAUAUCACACUCGGACCGUGCGUGCCGCCGCCGGGUGCCGGAGCGGGGCCGGAUGGAUCGGCGUGGACUGAAUGCCCUCUACCGGGGGAACCCGGGGGUUACCCACAGCCGCACCAUUGGCUAUAAAGGGUGAUAAAAAUGGGGGCAAGAGAGCAAUGUGGAGCUGCCCACUGUGUCUCUGCUGCUGACCAGCUGCUCAGGACCAUGGCACUUGCUGUUCCAUCACCUCAUCCCAGAUGGCUGUGCAGGGCAGGCAGAGCUGCUGGAUCCUGAAGGUGCAGUGGAUCUAGACCCAAACCAAGCCCAGACUAGGGGGGCUGUUCUCAAGGUACAUGCAGAGAUCACCUCCUGCCAGAGCAGGGUGGCCUGAGGCCUGCUGCAGGACAGGAUAGGUGGUGUGCUGGUGGAAUGAGAAAUAUGAGAAAUGGGGGAAAAAAAGUCAGUGUUUUCACCCAGCACCAUUUGAGGAGAAUGUUUCCAUCAUUCCAGCUUCCCCUCUGGCUCCAAGAGACCAUGGCUGCCCUACUCUGCAUGUAGUACUGCCCCUUCCUCCACUGGAGACCACUGCCGCCAGGUUUCUCCAGCUGUGUGAGAGGUUUGCUUUUGAGCCAUAGGCAAAAAAAUGUUGGUUGUCUUGAAGAAAUGCUCUUCCAAAGUCAGCAGCCAGUACAGUGAGUACUGCCAGCACACAACUGAGUGGGAUGAGGCUGCUCCAGCUUUACCCCAGGAUCUGAUCACUUACAAAGACUACAAUUAGAUCCAUCAUGUUAUCUGAAUGGUUAUUUUGUGAUUUAAUUCCCCCUGCUUUUUCACAGUGGUAAUUAAACGAGCAAGGAAAAAGAGACAGAUUAAUUGAUUGAACUGGUUCCAGGAGAAACCAUUAGUCCUGUUCCUCUUCUGCUCUAUAUGGUGUUUAAACAACUCUGUAAUGGAGCCCAGUGAAUCCUGCCAACACAUUUCUGUAAGCGCUGCUUUGAUUUUCAAAUGAAUUGUCUUCAUCUGCUUUUAUCCCCCCGUUGCCUUAGCUUUAUAUGAAAAUUUGUACAGUCUUCUUGCUUAUGAAAAAGAAAGGAAAAAAAAAGCAAAUAUGUUUCAAUAUGAUUGAAGAUGAAUUUUGUU